UACGAAUGGAGCGAGCGUUGUUCGGAAUCACUGGGCGUAAAGCGUGCGCAGGCGGUCUUGAAAGUCAGAAGUGAAAGCCCAGGGCUUAACCCUGGAAUUGCUUUUGAAACUCCAAGACUAGAGUACUGGAGAGGUUGGCGGAAUUCCGAGUGUAGCAGUGAAAUGCGUAGAUAUUCGGAGGAACACCGAUGGCGUAGGCAGCCAACUGGACAGUAACUGACGCUCAUGCACGAAAGCGUGGGGAUCAAACAGGAUUAGAUACCCUGGUAGUCCACGCCCUAAACGAUGUGUGCUAGUUGUCGGGGUCUUAAGAUCUCGGUGACGCAGCUAACGCUUUAAGCACACCGCCUGGGGAGUACGGUCGCAAGAUUAAA
This 374-nucleotide ribosomal RNA is filed under the name uncultured bacterium. Its description in RNAcentral is "bacterial SSU rRNA". It matches the Rfam family "Bacterial small subunit ribosomal RNA", at positions 524 to 898 of the family's 1533-position model. The record is from RNAcentral.